This 450-nucleotide ribosomal RNA is filed under the name uncultured cyanobacterium. RNAcentral's name for it is "bacterial SSU rRNA". It matches the Rfam family "Bacterial small subunit ribosomal RNA", at positions 8 to 505 of the family's 1533-position model. The record is from RNAcentral. Lineage: Bacteria; Bacillati; Cyanobacteriota.
AGAGUUUGAUCAUGGCUCAGGAUGAACGCUGGCGGUCUGCUUAACACAUGCAAGUCGAACGGAAUCUUUCGGGAUUUAGUGGCGGACGGGUGAGUAACGCGUGAGAAUCUGCCUUCAGGUUCGGGACAACAGUUGGAAACGGCUGCUAAUACCGGAUGUGCCGAGAGGUGAAAGCUUAAGUGCCUGGAGAUGAGCUCGCGUCUGAUUAGCUAGUAGGAGUGGUAACGGCACCCCUAGGCGACGAUCAGUAGCUGGUCUGAGAGGAUGAUCAGCCACACUGGGACUGAGACACGGCCCAGACUCCUACGGGAGGCAGCAGUGGGGAAUUUUCCGCAAUGGGCGCAAGCCUGACGGAGCAAGACCGCGUGAGGGAAGAAGGUCUGUGGAUUGUAAACCUCUUUUGAUCGGGAAGAAGACAGUGACGGUACCGAUCGAAUCAGCUCGUCUCCG